UCUAAUAUGGCAGAUUAGUGCGGUGAAUUUAAGCUUCACAUAUAAAGUUUACACUUUUUUUAGAA
This 65-nucleotide transfer RNA is filed under the name Diabroctis mirabilis. Its description in RNAcentral is "tRNA-Leu". The record is from RNAcentral. Lineage: Eukaryota; Metazoa; Arthropoda; Insecta; Coleoptera; Scarabaeidae.